Notolabrus celidotus (New Zealand spotty) is the source of this 2147-nucleotide long non-coding RNA. RefSeq lists it as uncharacterized. Lineage: Eukaryota; Metazoa; Chordata; Actinopteri; Labriformes; Labridae. The record is from RefSeq and is a predicted model, not a curated record. The transcript is spliced from 2 exons.
UUAUUAUUUAUCAUUAUUAAUAUAAUAUUUAUUAUUUCAUUAUAUUUAUUAAUUUGUUUCUUUUUUAUAUUAUUAUUAUUUUAACUGUUUUCUAUGUUUUUGAAGUCUCAGACUUCUGUGCCUUAUUUGCGAGUCUCUCUGCUGGUCUGGUUUUGUCUCUGCUGGUCUGGUUUUGUCUCUGCUGGUCUGGUUUUGUCUCUGCUGGUCUGGUUUUGUCUCUCUGCUGGUCUGGUUUUGUCUCUGCUGGUCUGGUUUUGUCUCUGCUGGUCUGGUUUUGUCUCUGCUGGUCUGGUUUGAUCCCUCCUCAGAUGUUUAUAUUAUAUUGAUCAGGUUUUUAAAUAAUGAAUGUAUUUAUACUCUGAAGCAGUUCUUGUGCUUGAAGUCCGCCCCCCCUGACGUACCCGUGUGAGUGUGUUUCAGGACUGUCAGGAUCCAUAUCAGUCAAUCGAUCCGGGUCACGUCCUCGCUCUGCUGUUCUAACCUUUGAAUGAAGUUCUGUCUUGAAGCCUUAAAAAGGGGGCGGGGUCUAACCAAGCCAAAGUUUUUGUGCCUUUUAAUUGUAUUAUGACAUCACUUCCUGUUUAAAGGGUUCCCAGACUCCUCGAAAAUGUGAUUCUAUGAAGUUUAGGUUUACCAACCUUUCAUUAAACCCCGCCCACAUGUAGUCCCGCCCACACGCAGAGCCCCGCCCACACGCAGAGCCCCGCCCACACGUAGAGUCCCGCCCACACGUAGAGUCCCGCCCACAUGCAGAGCCCCGCCCACAUGUAGAGUUCCGCCCACUGCGUCCCCUGUCCUUCAUGAAGGAACUCACUGAGGGUGUGUCAGUGUUACCUGAUAAACACCUGUUGACUUACUGACUGUAAAUACCUGCUUACCUGAACACGAGGACCGAGACUCAGAGGGACCAGAUCCAGAUCAAGAACCAGGAUUCUUCUCAUUGGAGGAGAGCUCGUCUCUGUCCAUCCAUCACUUUUCCUAAUGUGUGUCACAGACAGAAGGUCACUCAUGGUCACGUGUAACACAUGUCAUGCGGUUCUGAUGGUUACAUGUUCUAUUACAGAGUUUAUAACCAGCUGUUAUAACACGUAUAAAUAUGUAAACAGGAAACUUCAUAGAAUCACGACGUGGAUCGACUCCCUGAACUCAUGAGCAUGAUCUCAGGUCACAUGAGGUCACGUGAGGUCAUGAGGUCCCAUGAUGUCACGUGAGGUCAUGAUGUCCCAUGAGAUCACAUGGGGUCCCAUGAGGUAAUGUGAGGUCAUGAUGUCCCAUGAGAUCACAUGGGGUCCCAUGAGGUCACGUGAGGUCAUGAUGUCCGAUGAGAUCACAUGGGGUCCCAUGAGGUCAUGUGAGGUCAUGAUGUCCCAUGAGAUCAAAUGGGGUCCCAUGAGGUCAUGAUGUCCAAUGAGAUCACAUGGGGUCCCAUGAGGUCAUGAUGUCCCAUGAGAUCACAUGGGGUCCCAUGAGGUCAUGAUGUCCCAUGAGAUCACAUGGGGUCCCGUGAGGUCAUGAUGUCCCAUGAGAUCAAAUGGGGUCCCAUGAGGUCAUGAUGUCCCAUGAGAUCACAUGGGGUCCCGUGAGGUCAUGAUGUCCCAUGAGAUCACAUGGGGUCCCAUGAGGUCACGUGAGGGCAUGUGAGGUCAUGAGGUCCCGUGAUGUCCCAUGAGAUCACUUUUGGUCCCAUGAGGUCCCUUGAUGUUCCAUGUGAUCACCCGGGGUCACAUGAGGUCCUGUGAGAUCACUUGAGGUCACAUGAGGUCCCGUGAGGUCAUGCAGUCCCGUGAGGUCCCAUGAAGUCACAUGCGGUCCCGUUUCUGUGCAGAGUUGGAUGUUGGUCUCUUGAAGUCCUCGUAGAGAUUCAGGGAUUUUGUGAGAACUGGAAACCUUCAGGAGACUCUGGGAUCGAAGCGGUUUCGUUUAUUUUCUGAGGAUCUGAUCCAGCUCUGAGCUCCAUGAUGACUGUAGAGGUGUUGUGGUGCAUUGUGGGAGCAGCAGGGACUCUAAGUUAUUAAGACAUCAUCGUCAUCUUCAUCAUGUGAAGUGUUUUAUUGUAUCAGUGCAUGGGGGGGGGAUUGUUUUAUUCUGAAAGGGCGACAGGAAGUUGUAGCAUGAACCACUGAAUAAAUAAAUCAUCUGACAACCAA